RNAcentral lists this ribosomal RNA (253 nucleotides) under uncultured bacterium. RNAcentral describes it as "partial 16S ribosomal RNA". It matches the Rfam family "Bacterial small subunit ribosomal RNA", at positions 524 to 776 of the family's 1533-position model. The record is from RNAcentral.
UACGGAGGGUGCGAGCGUUGUCCGGAAUCACUGGGCGUAAAGGGCGCGUAGGCGGCAUGCCAAGCGUGUGGUGAAAGCCCGGGGCUCAACCCCGGGUCGGCCGUGCGGACUGGCGUGCUCGAGCACUGUAGGGGCGGGUGGAAUUCCGGGUGUAGCGGUGGAAUGCGCAGAUAUCAGGAAGAACACCCGUGGCGAAGGCGGCUCUCUGGGACGGUACUGACGCUGAGACGCGAAAGCGUGGGGAGCGAACAGG